UUAAGGCAUUCUUUGCACGUCAUUGCAUACUAAGAUUGCAUAUUAUAGGUUUAGAUAAUUUCUCCUAAAUAGAUUGCAUGCUUAUUAGGAAAAUAAAAAUCAUGUGCACGUCAUAUAGAAUUAGUUUCAUACAAUGCACGUCAUUUAGUGAUUUUGUUAGGUGCAUUUAAUUAGAAAUUGCCCGUCAUUAGAAUUAAGUCAUUAGAUUAAUUUAGAUUGCAUAUUUAAAUGUUGCAUUUCUUUAAUUUCGAAUCUCA
Molecule: long non-coding RNA, 257 nt
Filed under: Eucalyptus grandis
Lineage: Eukaryota; Viridiplantae; Streptophyta; Magnoliopsida; Myrtales; Myrtaceae
Description: long non-coding RNA (EGRA_LNC004451)
Source: RNAcentral